This 391-nucleotide unclassified non-coding RNA is filed under the name soil metagenome. RNAcentral's name for it is "partial contains 5.8S ribosomal RNA, internal transcribed spacer 2, and large subunit ribosomal RNA". The stretch from base 1 to 122 matches the Rfam family "5.8S ribosomal RNA", at positions 35 to 154 of the family's 154-position model. The record is from RNAcentral.
GAUGAAGAACGUAGCGAAAUGCGAUACUUGGUGUGAAUUGCAGAAUCCCGUGAACCAUCGAGUCUUUGAACGCAAGUUGCGCCCGAAGCCAUUAGGCCGAGGGCACGCCUGCCUGGGCGUCACACGUCGUUGCCCCCCCAUCUACUCCUUCGGGAUUGCGGGGGGCGGAUGAUGGCCUCUCGUGCGCCUCGUCGCGCGGUUGGCCUAAAUGCCAAGUCCUCGGCGACGCACGCCACGACAAUCGGUGGUUGCGAAACCUCGGUUGCCUGUCGUGUGCGGUCGUCGCGCAUCGAGGGCUCGAAAAAAUUGCCGGGCUUCGGCUCGACUUUCAACGCGACCCCAGGUCAGGCGGGGUUACCCGCUGAAUUUAAGCAUAUCAAUAAGCGGCGGA